AGCAGCCGCGGUAAUUCCAGCUCCAAUAGCGUAUAUUAAAGUUGUUGCAGUUAAAAAGCUCGUAGUUGAAUUUCGGGAUCAAUUUAUUGGUCGUGCUAUUGUACGUACUGGUAUUAUUGAUUUCUACCUUCUGACGAACCAUGAUGUCAUUAAUUUGGUGUCUUGGGGAAUCAGGACCGUUACUUUGAAAAAUUAGAGUGUUUAAAGCAGGCUCACGCUUGAAUACAUUAGCAUGGAAUAACGAAAUAGGACGUUUGAUUCUAUUUUGUUGGUUUCUAGGAUCGACGUAAUGAUUAAUAGGGAUAGUUGGGGGCAUUAGUAUUCAAUUGUCAGAGGUGAAAUUCUUGGAUUUAUUGAAGACUAACUACUGCGAAAGCAUUUGCCGAGGAUGUUUUCAUUAAUCAAGGACGAAAGUUAGGGGAUCGAAGACGAUCAGAUACCGUCGUAGUCUUAACCAUAAACUAUGCCGACUAGGGAUCGGAUGAUGUUAAUUUUUAAUGUACUCA
RNAcentral lists this ribosomal RNA (506 nucleotides) under uncultured Glomus. Its description in RNAcentral is "SSU rRNA". It matches the Rfam family "Eukaryotic small subunit ribosomal RNA", at positions 569 to 1078 of the family's 1831-position model. The record is from RNAcentral. Lineage: Eukaryota; Fungi; Glomeromycota; Glomeromycetes; Glomerales; Glomeraceae.